RNAcentral lists this microRNA (25 nucleotides) under Pteropus alecto (black flying fox). RNAcentral describes it as "pal-miR-10002-5p". The record is from miRBase by way of RNAcentral. Lineage: Eukaryota; Metazoa; Chordata; Mammalia; Chiroptera; Pteropodidae.
GUCUUCUGCAGUGGCUGCCGGCCUG